This 396-nucleotide ribosomal RNA is filed under the name uncultured bacterium. Its description in RNAcentral is "partial 16S ribosomal RNA". It matches the Rfam family "Bacterial small subunit ribosomal RNA", at positions 523 to 918 of the family's 1533-position model. The record is from RNAcentral.
AUACGUAGGUGGCGAGCGUUGUCCGGAUUUACUGGGUGUAAAGGGCGUGUAGGCGGAGAUGCAAGUCAGGAGUGAAAUCUAGGGGCUCAACCCCUAAACUGCUUUUGAAACUGUAUCCCUUGAGUAUCGGAGAGGCAGGCGGAAUUCCUAGUGUAGCGGUGAAAUGCGUAGAUAUUAGGAGGAACACCAGUGGCGAAGGCGGCCUGCUGGACGACAACUGACGCUGAGGCGCGAAAGCGUGGGGAGCAAACAGGAUUAGAUACCCUGGUAGUCCACGCUGUAAACGAUGAAUACUAGGUCUGGGGGGACUGACCCCCUCCGUGCCGCAGUUAACACAAUAAGUAUUCCACCUGGGGAGUACGAUCGCAAGAUUGAAACUCAAAUGAAUUGACGGGG